GCGUCGGUGGUUCAGUGGUAGAAUACUCGCCUCCCACGCGGGUGGCCCGGGUUGGAUUCCCGGCCGACGCA
Molecule: transfer RNA, 71 nt
Filed under: Rhipicephalus sanguineus (brown dog tick)
Lineage: Eukaryota; Metazoa; Arthropoda; Arachnida; Ixodida; Ixodidae
Description: transfer RNA glycine (anticodon CCC)
Rfam family: tRNA
About the family: Transfer RNA (tRNA) molecules are approximately 80 nucleotides in length. Their secondary structure includes four short double-helical elements and three loops (D, anti-codon, and T loops).
Source: Rfam by way of RNAcentral